AUUCCUACGGGGGGCAGCAGUAGGGAAUCUUCCACAAUGGACGAAAGUCUGAUGGAGCAACGCCGCGUGAGUGAAGAAGGGUUUCGGCUCGUAAAGCUCUGUUGGUAGUGAAGAAAGAUAGAGGUAGUAACUGGCCUUUAUUUGACGGUAAUUACUUAGAAAGUCACGGCUAACUACGUGCCAGCAGCCGCGGUAAUACGUAGGUGGCAAGCGUUGUCCGGAUUUAUUGGGCGUAAAGCGAGUGCAGGCGGGUUAAUAAAGUUGUUGGGGAAGCCUUUGGGUCAAAC
Molecule: ribosomal RNA, 287 nt
Filed under: uncultured bacterium
Lineage: Bacteria
Description: partial 16S ribosomal RNA
Rfam family: Bacterial small subunit ribosomal RNA
Source: RNAcentral